CUCAAGCACGAUAAUGAUGUACUGUCCAUCCAUUAUUGGGACUAUGGACGCGGCAUGUUCCACGGUGGAUAAAUAAUAUAUAGUACGUUUUGGGCUUCCACCAGGGACCGUGGCCUGGACAACGGUUCCUGGCCAAUGCAACAUUACCGAUCUCUGUGGUGGCUGGAAUGUGCCGCAUGUCACGGCAUGUGUCCAUUAUGAUUGCGCAUUAUACUGUGUACUGUACGCAGAAGCUCCGGAGGGGGAAGGGGGAUGUUUUGAUAUGGACAUAGACCAAGCUCCUAUUAUUAUGUAUACCGGUUAGCUAGUUUUUGAUUGGGACGGGAAAUACCC
This 333-nucleotide small RNA is filed under the name Histoplasma ohiense. RNAcentral describes it as "hypothetical lncRNA". Lineage: Eukaryota; Fungi; Ascomycota; Eurotiomycetes; Onygenales; Ajellomycetaceae. The record is from RNAcentral.